Molecule: ribosomal RNA, 501 nt
Filed under: uncultured bacterium
Lineage: Bacteria
Description: partial 16S ribosomal RNA
Rfam family: Bacterial small subunit ribosomal RNA
Source: RNAcentral
AUUGAACGCUGGCGGCAGGCUUAACACAUGCAAGUCGAGCGGAGAGAGGUAGCUUGCUACUGAUCUUAGCGGCGGACGGGUGAGUAAUGCUUAGGAAUCCGCCUAUUAGUGGGGGACAACAUUUCGAAAGGAAUGCUAAUACCGCAUACGUCCUACGGGAGAAAGCAGGGGAUCUUCGGACAUUGCGCUAAUAGAUGAGCCUAAGUCGGAUUAGCUAGUUGGUGGGGUAAAGGCCUACCAAGGCGACGAUCUGUAGCGGGUCUGAGAGGAUGAUCCGCCACACUGGGACUGAGACACGGCCCAGACUCCUACGGGAGGCAGCAGUGGGGAAUAUUGGACAAUGGGCGCAAGCCUGAUCCAGCCAUGCCGCGUGUGUGAAGAAGGCCUUAUGGUUGUAAAGCACUUUAAGCGAGGAGGAGGCUACUUUAGAUAAUACCUAGAGAUAGUGGACGUUACUCGCAGAAUAAGCACCGGCUAACUCUGUGCCAGCCGCCGCUGUAA